GCUGCACUCCAGACUGGAUGACAGAGAGAGACUCCAUCUCAAAAAAAACAAACAAACAAAAAAAAAAACAGUAUAGCUCAAAAAGAUAACCAGAAAAGAUCAAAAGCAAACAAUUCGACAACAAGAAAAUUUGGCAACAGAAAUAUGCAUUUUAUACACUCUACUGCCCAAGAAUUCACAUGUCUAACAUAAUAAUAAAAUAUUAAAAAAGGAAGUCUGUAUUCGAGGGGGAAUGUCAUGCUGGAAUUAGCACAGUGAGCAAAAUGAAUCUCACCCUGAAGCCUAUAGAGAAGUCCAUAUGAAUUCACUUUGCAUAGCUAAAUGAUUGCCAGAGAGACAAUAACACUUCACAUACUGAAAGAGAGAAGUGAUGAUUUUAAAGAUCCAAAUUUAAAAUGAAACUUCUCUACAUGGGAUCUUAGAAAUACUGUAGUUAAAUGAAAAAGCAUAUUUAGAGAAAAUGCAAUCAUUGUCAAUUCUCUUUGUGAUUUGAAUAGUUAAUAUUUCCAUUAAUUUUAUAGGGUUUUAUUUAAACUUUCCAUGAGGAUUGAACAGGUUGAGUUUUUGAAGUGGGACAAACAUGAUAUUACAUAUUUUGGGGGUGCUAAGUUCCUAAACAAUACCCUUUCCCAUUCGGUUUAUCUUGUGCCUUUUUCUACCAAACUGCAGUUUCACCCUCUACAGCCUGUAUUUAUCCCCAUGAUUGCCACUAGACCUGCUUCUUCAAAAGUUGCCCUGACCUGCUUUCUUGCCUGUUCCAGGGGUCAUUUUUAUCAUUUUCCUUUUCUUUGAUGACUUUGCUGCUUUAAUAAUGUUGAUUAGUCCCUUGGAACAUCCUUUUUUCAAUGAGGCUGCUUUUAGAGGAUAGUAAAAAAACUACAUAUUUUAGUCUGUCCAUUAUGAUCCUUUAAAAAAAAGUACUAAAAAUGCAUUGCCUGAAUAAAUUCUGUUGAGUACCAACUCUUACCUUUUACUGUAUCUUAGCACAUUAAAUUUCCUGUCCAUCAAAACAUGCUGGAGCUGAUGCUCAGAAAUAAAGUAUGUACUCUUGGCUGGAUUAAGACAUUCAUUAUUCCACUCAGCUUGUCUGUUUGCUGAGGUUUUGGAUAAUUUUUUUUCCUGUGCUGCAGUUUAGUUUAGUGGCUAGACAAGUUCUGAGUCUUUGGAUUUUUUUAUUAAUGCAUCCAGUUUGGAAAGUUUCAGUGGAUUCCAGUUAAAUUUUGGGUUAAUAUUUAUUUUGGUCCUGGUACAACUUCAGGGGGAUUUAGGUUCAUGAUACUGUUCAUGUAUUUGCCAGGUCAGUCCCUUUCUUUAGACUUCAAUGGGCUUAUGUUUCUUCUAUUUGUAUUAAAUCUAUCUUCUAAAUCCUUUCUGCUCUCAACUUUUGGGUCUUAAAAUUCAAUUCCAUUAUGUCGACUGAUCAGGUAUAUGGCCUAACUUAACCCAUGUGUUUGUAUUUGGUGUGGAUUUUGGACACCACCCUGGGGUGCUGUCAUCCAAGAACCUUUCGUGAUACACAUUUGAUUGAUGGAAAUCACUGACUUCCCCUGAAUAUAUCUUGACAUUGUAGACAUUGUACAAUCUUUCCUAGCAGUUAACAUGCAUCUCAAUCCUCUAAUCUUUUAACAGUGACUCUGCUCUGAGAAUAAAAUUUUCUAAGUGACUGGAGAAUUAUGACUUUGCACAAAUUAGAAAGAUAAUCUUUAAUUUUCAAGCAACUACUGUGAAAUCAAUAAAUAUUACCUAUUUCACUUUUACAUCCUCUGAUGGGGUUAAAAUAUAAGAUGGCUGUCUUAGCUGAUUGUUUUCCCUGUUAGCUACUAGAAAAGAAUAAUUUGAAUUUUAUGAAUAAAAGAGACAAGAAACAUUUUUUCCUGAGGAAGAACAUUUGUUAUUCCUUUUUAAAUAUCUUCAUUUAAAUGAUUAUGUAUUACAAUAAAUGUUAAGUAUGGGUAUAUUAUAAAUAAUACAAUGAUUAAAAAAUUUAUCUCUUGAAUCACAGUGAGUAUGCAACUGGGACAGAAUUGCCAUCCUUUCCCUGUAAGACUGUGAGCUCCUUGAGAAGUGAAGUAACUGGCCCUCCCAUAAAUUCUAGGGAACCAGGCCUCAGUGUUUAUUACUGGAAAUGCACCAGCUUUGUGGAAGUUUCUGGAAAGGAAUGUUGUGGAAUUGGUGAUUAAGUGGAAUAGCUUUCUCUUCUGUCCCCUGGUUCAUUGACUUGAUCUAAGCCCAAGGCAAAAGUAAGAGGAGGUCUCUUAUAAUCUGUCAGCUUCCUUCUCACUUAGGACCUUCCUUAAGGAUUAAAAACUUAACUUUUAAACCAGAGUUCCUCUUUACCUCUCUGCCAGACCCAACUACAUUAAGGGAUUUGACGGGUCACCAAUCCAGGAGGGUUAUGCAUGAGACACUUGGCUUCCACCCACCUAUGGAAUUUAAUUUAUGCCUGGUUGGUUUGAUUUUUUUUUUCCCUCAAUCACCCUCCUUUAACAAAGGCCAGUCAAUGAGCUGAGUUUUGCUGUCUUCUGCUAUUAGGACCAUUUUCUUAAGGUAGCAAUCCAUAGACCAUCACAAUGAAGUGUGUUUGUGUCUAUGAGUGUGUACCUGUGUGUGACAUUCUUUCUUUUCUUUACAGUAUUUUAUGUUUAGCUUGAUCUGUAAUAAAUUAAAGUGGUCAUGCUUUUCUCUAAGGAUGACCUCCUCCAGCUCCACUCAAGAAAGUCUAUUUAUUGGGAAAAUAGUUCCUUAACAGCAGAGAAAGACUAUAUCUUCUUUAUCAAGUUUGUGACAAAAUUAUUACCAGUUUCUCUGAGGUAGGUCUCUCCCCAUGCUCAUUCUUCCUACAUAAUCCUUUUAGAUAAUCUACCCAAAAUAUACUUUUCAUUAUGCCAUUUCCUUAUACUACAACAUACAGUAGUGUUUGUAUUCUGUGGAACUCUAACAGGCAUUUCUCAAAGGCAAGAGUUCCAUGAUUUACUCUCUCUAUAUAUAUCUAUAUCUAUAUAUAGUAUAUGCAUAUAGCAUAUGCAAAUGUAUAUUUACUAUAUAUAUAGUGUGUAUAUAUAUAUGCAGAAAGUUAAAGUCAACAAGCAUCUGUAGUAAGAAGGUCUUUUUUAAUUUAUUCUUCACGAAUGAGCUGCAUAUAUGGCAUGUGAAGUUUAUCAGAGUGACCUAAAUACGGGAUUGGUUUUUAACCAAGCAUACCAAAGAAUAGUAGUCCUGAAAAACAUAACUCUGGAAACUAACUGAUAAUUGCAUUACUUGCUUUCUUAAUCAUUUCAAACACCUCCACCUGCAUUUCAUGGUUCUUCACACUUUUAGACAGGUGUCUAACCAUUAGUCUCAUAAACUAGGCACAUAAAUGUCCAGGGGCAGGUAAAGUUACUGGAGAAGUGUGUGGUGCUCCUGGGUGUAGGAACUCCAGGGAGAAUUAAAGAACUUGUUAAACAAGGUGGCCUUAAUUUGAACCCCUUAAAGUUUCUGGGUUUUGACUGGAACUGGAGAGAUCAGAAGUUGAGGAGAAUGAGGAAAGUAUUGGAACUUUUGGAAAUGGGUGUGCUCAGUCUGUGCGAGUCAGAGUCCUUGAAACUGGGCCUUUUCUACGUCUGAGUCCUAAUGAAGAUUCCAGUUUUCACAGUAGAAGUUAAAGAAAAAAAAUGUCUAGAAAGGAGUGAUUUAGAGAUCUUUCUAGGCCCAUAUUUUUCCCAUCUUAUGUUAAUUGUAAUUGGGUCAGUUAGAAUUUGGUCUGUUAAAUAAAAUGGUUUAAUAUUUUGAACUGUCCACCUAUUCUUACAUACCAUUUAGUAGUGGACUCAGAUGCCUAAAUUAUCUACCAGGUUUUUUCUGGCUCAAUAAUGCAACACUCCUAUAGUCAGAAAACAAUUAUUGUAAUAAUUUUAAUCAAUGCCAGAAAAUUUAAUACCUGAAUAUGAUGUAAAUGUUUUUUAUUGCAUUUAUGUGUUAGUUGCUUCCCUCUUUUCCACUGAGCUGUAGCUUCUUAAGGUCAGUGAUCAUAUUUUACAUCUAUUCUAUACUCUCCAUAGCUCUCAGUCAGGGUACUAAAUGAUUAAUGUGUCAUAUAGGCUGAUUGUCUUAUUGACCAAUUACAUAUCAAUUAAAUUAAGUUGCCAGCAGUCAUAUUUCUGGCAACAAUUAUAGGACAGGAUAAUCUCUGAGGUUUUAUAUGUAUUGUGAAUUUAUUUCCAUCCUCAUUUGGACACCCUAGUGACUGAAACACAACUGACCCCCAUGGACCUACAAAGACACCUCAGUCCAUUCCUUAUUGAUGUCUCUGACUACUCCAUUCUCCAUUUAUCACCUUUUUUUCACUCCAUUGAUCUUUCCUCUUCUGUCCAAUCAAAUGUACAAUGUUUACAUACCAACCAACAUGUUAUCAUUGCAAAACAUGCAAGAAUAACAGCACAAAUAUAAUUGACAUUCUACCAUGAAGUAAGGGCAAAUAUUGUCUUCUCUAUCCUCGUAGUCAAAAGAAUACUAGAUUUGUUAGAUUUUAUCAAUUAUUUAUUCAUUAAACCAGCAUUCAUGGAGAACGUAA
Molecule: long non-coding RNA, 4552 nt
Organism: Homo sapiens (human)
Lineage: Eukaryota; Metazoa; Chordata; Mammalia; Primates; Hominidae
Exons: 2
Source: RefSeq, a predicted model, not a curated record